Molecule: long non-coding RNA, 1797 nt
Organism: Panicum virgatum (switchgrass)
Lineage: Eukaryota; Viridiplantae; Streptophyta; Magnoliopsida; Poales; Poaceae
Exons: 2
Source: RefSeq, a predicted model, not a curated record
CCACCCCCCCAAUGGCCACCGUACGUCCUCUUCCAACCCCGCCGCUGCCGCGGCCCGGACUGUGCCCAGAUGAGCAACCUCCGCUCGGCCCGCCGCCUGGGGAUGAGCCGCAACCAGCACCGCGUGCAGGUGUGUGUCGUCGUCAGUCCCUGCAUUUGUACGCUCCAGUCAACUUUCUCCGCCGCCCUCGGAGGUCAGGUCUAUCCCACUCCCACCGUGCCGCUAGGGUUCUCCGUGCCUGCUUAAAGUUUCGAUUUUAUAUUUUUUCUUGCCCCUUUGCUACGAUGAGCAGUGAAACGCAGCAAUUGUUUGUGAGAAUGUUUAGUCAUGGGGGGAAUAUGCGCUACAGUGCUAGGAUCAUCAUUUCAAAUAAGCCAUGAGAUUGUCCUAGUGACUAGCAUCCCUAUACUAUGACUGACACUUGCUCAACCAUGUAUAGCUGGUACUGAAAAUGUUUAGUCAUGUUGUAAGAUCAAUUUUUCUCCAAUGAAUCUUCAAAUAUCAAACUGCCAAAAAAGAAAACUUCAUAGUAUACUAGUGCUCAAACUUCUCAACUUUGUGAGAAUGUGUCUUUUGUUUUACUGUCAUUCUGGAAAGUCGAAAGUAUAUGGUUCCUAAGAUUUUCUCUCUUACUGCGUGAAAUAUUCAACUGUAUCACAUUUAUUUCUGUAAAUAAACACAUCAUGCUGCAAUCCCAGUUCACAAAAAAAAAACAAGUCAAACUUCUAAACUUAAGCUGUUGGCGUUUCGUUUCCCAUGUCAAAUUUCUACAAUUGAGCUCAAAAUUUCAUUGUCCUUCAGUGUCAUGUGCAUGGCUGGUUCAGAUCCGAUGAUUCAGGGUAAGACACUUACCCUCAUCUUACUGUUGUUUCUGCUGUUGUAGCCAUGUUAAAGUUUUGAGGCCAGUUGAUGAACUGUAACUGUUGCUGUAGGCGUCACUGCCUCAAGUGGAUUCUUCUUACAAUUAUGGACAGAAUCAUAUAGUAAUAACCCAACUAAGUAAUAGAUGAGAUACCCCACACAAGUAACUGAUUUUUAUUCAAGCAAAAUAAUUGAUUUCAGGAAACUGAUAUUCUUGUUGGAAUGGCGAUGCCUUCCUAACAGCUACUCCGGCCCAGUGCUACAGAUAGUACAGCAAGUGCUCUUUACAGUACAUGUGAACAUCAUUGCAGCAAUAUCGGUGGCAAUAACUUCCAGAGCCAUACUAUGGAAGUGAACUGAUAAAGGUAGAGGGAUCAGGAGGAGUGGGGACUGCAGCUGCUUCGUCAAGCAUUUGUGUCACUUUGAGCAUUGUAGGUCUCAUAGUUGGGUCCUCCUGAAGGCAUCACAAUGCCACUGCCACAAACCUUUCCACCUUCGUCAAAUUGAGAAUUGCUUCAUCAUCACCCUCCACCAGAAAAUCAACCCUGCCGCAACUAUAACAGUCAUUUGCCCAGUCAGUCAGUAUUUUCUGAUCUUCCGCAGCCUCCAACUCAACAUUCCUCCGACAACAGAUGAGCUCCAACAGGAUGACCCCAAAGCUAUACACAUCCACCUUGGCUGUGAUACCGAUGUUUUUGAACCACUUAGGGGCUACUUAGCCUCAGGUACCCCGGAUACCUGUAUUUGUUUGUGUCUGGUUUGUUCGGAGAAGUUUAGCUAAGCCGAAGUCUGAGAUCUUUGCUGUGAAGUUGCCAUCGAGAAGGAUGUUCUGGGGCUUUAUGUCACAAUGGAUAAUCUGUGUGCUGCAUUCCUCAUGUAAGUAUAGCAGCCCCUUUGCCACUCCAAGAGCAAGCUGAGCUCGAAGGUUCCACUCAA